This is a long non-coding RNA of Varroa destructor (honeybee mite), 9103 nucleotides long. Lineage: Eukaryota; Metazoa; Arthropoda; Arachnida; Mesostigmata; Varroidae. The record is from RefSeq and is a predicted model, not a curated record.
UUGAAUAGAUCAGCACACAGCCCUGAACGUCUCGAAGUUGUAUUUGAAGUCGUUACGAAAAAAACUGUGAAAAGCAAUUAUACUUGGAACUCUAGUGUAAUACGUCUGUUUGGCUUCGACGCUGUCUAGUCACAUUACGCACAUCGUUCAUCGUCAAAAACACUGAGGGCUGACAGAGACGUCAGUUCUACGCUCACGUUGUUCUAUCCCAAACAAGUAUAAGUCUCUGCGGUUUGCGGUUCCGGUAAGACAAUGCGCAUCUUGAGGCGGGCAGUAACCGAGCGUUGUUUUGGCUCGCUUUAUCUUAUUUCCUACCGCCAUUUUAUUUUCAAAAGUAAUUAAGAAGCCUGCAGUUCUGGCUCAAUAUUCAGGACCGCACACAUAACACUGGUGCAUCAAUUUCUGGUGCCAAGUGUCAAAUAAUUGUGGUUUUCAAGCAGUAACUAUGAAGCGAUUGUUCACAACAGCCGCCGUUUCAAUGAAUAGUAUUCUAUUCUUUUCGGAUUGUAGCCGCCGAUUUCUACGUAACACAGCACAAACAACUUUAUUAUCCAUGUGCUUUUUUUCUUUAGCAAGAUCGUCAUUGUUCCAUCAAUUACGCUCAAUUGUCGAACGUGAAUGAAGAAUAAACGGAACGCAUUGAAUGGUACGUCUUCUCCGCUCGAUCAAAUGUUGAUGUGAAAGUCACGCGACGCUUACAUUUCCUCAAACGUUAUCAUAACAGAACAAAGAGGAGUUGCAGGUAUGUGUGUAAAACUUUCAUACAUUGAGGCACAUUGUGUAGGACAAAUAGUAUUACUAAAUAGAGCGUCUUGGCUAGUUUGCUUUGUCGAGUUGCAGAACCUUAUGACAAGCAGAAACCCGUUUUGACAAAUAAAUAAUUCUGUUUAUGCGUUCAACAAGUUUCCUUGGGGAUUAAUUCGGUUAUUACGCGGAGCGUAAAAGCCACUCCUUUAGUUAUAGUCUCACGGAGUAUCCUCUUUUGGUUAUAUGGAACGCGCUUAUAGGCAAAGAUAUCAGAGUUAUGAGGAUUCAGUUUAGGUGGACAGAACCGGGUCACUUAUAGAUACACCGUAAUUUAUUGUGCAAACUGAAAAAUCUUGAAAAAUGUGCUGAAGGUAGUCCCUCUAAAAGUGCUUUCUCUGCAAUAACAAUAGCACCAACAGCUCUGGAAGAUGUCAGGAAAAGUUACUUUGUUAGGCUUCGAUUUAGUAAACGUCUAUAUAAGUAGUAACUGGCCGGUUACUCGGCAAAACAUCAGACAGCGUUCGACAAGGACGUCGCCAACCACAUCAUUUUCAAGUCACCACUGGCCACUGCUAACAGCCGCAACGGUGUUGUCGAUAUUAUUUCUAUCAAAAAGACAAAAGCCUAUCUGCUUUCUUUAUCUGCCUAGAUGUUGUCCUUUUGUCCUGCUUAGCAUUCCCGUGUGUGCGAGUACAUCUAUACGUGAUGCGUCAACUUAUAACGAUCAAUAUGGUCAAACGCUUUCUUCAGUCGUUGUAUUUCUUUACGACGAUGAGUGAGGGCAUUUGGGGCAUAUUGAAUGUAAGGCAGAGAAAACUGAUCGUCUUCAUUUUUGCCAAUUUGUUUUUUUCUAUCACUGCCACUUUCUUCGUUGUUGUAUCGAAAUGGUGACGAGUGGUGCGAUCAGCACGCUGCUAACGUAAUGUUGCCGUUAACCGUGAAUGGAUUCGACUGCAAACGGGUAGCCAAACGUUUACAUUUAAAAAGGAAAUAUGCUAAAGACUAACACAACAAAGCAUGCCUGCACUGCUGACAGAGGCCAAUAAUAUAUUUUUGGUUGACUGUUAUAUACAUAGAUAUAUAUAUGCAUAGCAGCGACAAUUUAGGCGGUACUGGCCAUGGUAAACACGUUUCCUUUGUCUGUUCUGAUACUCGAACAUAUGUUUUGGAAUAACGGACUUAAUACGAUGCUGCUACAACCGCUUAAAUGGACACCCCGUGUCCUAAAUUUUCGUCUCAACGUCACUAACUGAAACUGCGUCGGUGUUCCUGGCCUGAUCGCUUAGAACGAUACAAUCACUUUCAUUACCCGUAUCGCUCGGACAGUUUAUUAUUACAUCCGUAGUACUUUUCCUUUAUUUUUUUUAUAUUUUACUGACGGCACCAACAUAAGAACGCUAUGAAGAGUUUGCUGUUGGUGCAAAGACGAACACUUGGGCGAUAUUAAUGUGCAAUUGUAUAUAUUUGCAGAUUGUAUUAAGCAUAUUAUACAGAAACAACAGAAUAUAUCAGAGUCAGACAUAAUGAAAUAGUAGUUCAUGUUGACUAGGUAAACUUACACAAAAGCUGAGCAGUCGUUUGAUUCUUUACAGAAUAAAUUGUGGCAGGUGUGGACGUUAGCAAACGCCCGUUUAUAUUUUUAUGAAAUGCAACCUCGUCUUUAUUCUGCCAUCUUUUAAUGCUAUUCGAUCCAGGAACAUAAUUCGGAUUGAACUAUACAGUAAAGUUUGCAACGGAUAAUUCAAGGAUGGAUGCACAUUAAUUUUGGAAUUAAAUUAACUUUUAAGCUUUCGAAUUAGAAGAAAUGGCAUAAUUACAAAUUUUGGAUUUCCAAAGUGUGACGACUGUGUCUAAUAUUCUGUCUCAGACUAGUUGUUCGGAUUGCGGUUACGGCUUUUCUGUAAAGCAAAAGACGAUAUUCGUCCAUUACUGAAAACGAGUUCACACUGACCUCAAUAUGGAAAUCUUCGCUAAGAUCAAUAAAGGAAACCCUUUAACGCAAUAUAAACGUUUGUCACUUCACCGUCUCAAAAAGCCACAGCGUUGGAUAUUCUCUAUUUCGAUUCAAGCAAUGCAGAUAAAAAGUGCCUAAAAGGUACAGCAAUCGUUCGUGAUCCAUUUGCUUCGACCUUUAGUGACCUCUCACUACGAGAUGGUAAGAGGAAUAUUCGUUUACCUUUUUUGUCGACUUGUCACAUCGCGACACGAGAGUCAUUGCGUCGUCUCUUAAUUAAAUGCUUUCUUUACCACACCUCCAUUCGGUGUCAAUAAUAUCCCUUUCUCUCCUAUCGUUUGGGUCGUAACGACCUUAUUGCUGAUAUAAACGCACUGCGGUGAUCCAUUCAAUGAACAAAAUCGAUAAAAUUAUCAAUAGCCAUAGUACAUCGUGUUCUACUAAUAGAAUUAUUGCGGGUUUACCUAAUGCACUGCGGCCAAGAAGAAACAUUUUGAAAUUAUCUGUGAGAAGUACCAUCCACUAUAGCAAUGCUAUCCAAUCGUAUCAACCGCAUAUAACAAGGAUGUUAAAUGUAAACGGAAGAUACCCUGUAACCGGCUUUGUAAGGAACUGGUAAACUCGACUUCUCGCUGUUAUGACCUUAGGUGUAUACGUUGGUUUGUGCUUUACCCGUAGAUGACGAUUCCACAUGGAUUUCAAAACGUACAUAAAAGUAUAUCACAUAGUAGUAGUACGACUUUAAUAACGCUACGGGAACCUUUUUUAGGUUGUCAGUGAAAAGUACAAUCCACUAAUCUAACUUUGUGACUCGAGAGUUAACAAUUUUGCUCUGUUAGCUAGUUGCUCGAAAUUAAUUGUGGUCAAACCGCUCUCUGUCAUUAAGCAUAUGCCUGUGCCUGUUUGUAUCAAGGGACGAAAUAGGAUCUGUUAAGUCAUUUCACAUUAACAAAAAAACACGGGGGUUGUGUCUUAUGUUUGUUCAGAUUGCGUUAAGUAUAGAGAAUCCCGAUUACAGGCUGAGACAGGAACAUCUUCGAAGGCUACUGUAGCUGACCGCAAGCCUUAAAUAACAACGAAUCCCACUUAUUGCGCCGAUGUCUCUACCAGACCUACUCAGACGAGGUACAAAAGUGCUCAUCGAAUCGCACCGUGAUGGACGUGGUCUGCGACCGUUGAUAUCGCUACGACAUUUAUGACGAGCUCAUUAUUUCCAGUGCCCAGUUCAACUCUUACGGGCACUGAAGCUGGGCUGAACAUUCGAAUGCCACCGCUGGCACAUACUUGCAGGCGACGACCCGUACCCCAUCGAUGCAAUAGUAAAGUAAGGAUGGGAAUUUGAGGCGCGAGAUUAGCUGAUCUUUUGCUGUUGACGCAUCUGGACUAGCGAGAAAUCGUCUUUUACAGAAACUGCACCUGCAAGCAUUUGUCGUUUAGAGCUUUAGGUCGACCCUGCUGCAGUGUCCAGGUUUCUGAUCACCCUCCAUCGCGUGGCGCCCCGGCGAAAUAUACGCAGUUCCUGCCAUAUAAUAACAUAAACGCAUCAGUCAGGUAAACUACUACGUGACUACUUGCUGGAGAAAGGUGGUAGCCAUGUCUCUUGGCGUUAAUUUCCACUUGGAUGAGAUGUCAUGGCCUAAAUCGCUUUAUGAACUUAAUCAGUUUCACCCGACUGUCACAGCCUAUAAAAAUCCGCUCCAACCGAAAUCGGGAGACUGAACACAUUUCGAAACCUUUUCUCUGCAGCAACACAAACAGUUCUGCUUUGAGCUUUAACUUCCUUUUACGCUAAUAACAGCUUAUAAUGGCAUGAAACUUAGAUGAGUGUUCAUUAUAGUAAUGGAACUAGCUAGCUCAGCGAAAAAUUUAUCAGCGAUUCAACAUUAUAUAUAUUCAAAUUCUACUGGCUUGUGCAAUUUAAAUGAUUCACCAUAUAUGCGUUGAUAUAACAGGAAGUACAAGCCCUACUUGAACAUGAGUCGAUUGCUGUCCUUACCUACUAAUUGAAAUUUUACGAAAAUUCCAAUUAGACGUUUCAAGGAAAAUUUAGCUUGCCGUAUUUUGCGAAAUGAGUAUAUCAUUCAGACAGUAAACACUUCGGCUUUGAGUUGGACUAAAUAAACGUAUGUUUACUAUUAGCGUCUGUCCAAAGUUUCGUGUAGCGUUAUUUCGAAAUUCAGAUAGAUAGAAUAUGAUUCUGUUUCGAAAUUCAGAAACGUCUACUCGAUAAAUACAGUUAAUCCAAUUAAGCCUAUCCAUCCUGAAUAGAAAGCCGCUGUAUAUCAUGUAACGUUUUGCAGUGUUAAUAAUAAUAAGCUAGUUCUACCAGUGCAGAGCCAAUAGUAGGCUGAGGUAGUAUAUUUCGAUUCGGAGAUUUUCUGGGGCUUUUUAAAGUAUCUAUGCGAAGCUAUCUGUCCCAUAAAUGAAAUCGGGAGUUUUUAUAGACGGAGUCGUCCAGCGCGAAUGAAAAGUAACAAAAAUUGUAAUGUAACAUAUAGUGUAGCAAUGAAUAAUAAUGUCGCUGACGGAUACACGGGUACAGUUUAGCUUGUAUGAGUUGCCGUCAGCUCAUUCUAAGGAUUACUGCCAUUAUUUAUUUCGAAAACGUACUGAACGGUCUUAGUUAAACUGGUUUGUCUCAUAUGAGUUACAUUUUGCAGAAUUUGUUUGAUAUCCAAUUAACCGUGUGCUGGCUAAUCGCAGAAAGAACGACUAGAAACUAUUUGAUCUAUUUUCUGACGGGCCUUCUGUAAUGUCAGGCCGAUAAAUUAACAUAUGUAUAUAUAAAUUAACCAGUUAUCACAACGAUGGCAAAACGAUCUCAAAAGCCAACAUCCCAAGGGAUUGUACAGUGAUUCGGGAAACAAUGUUUAUUUCAAGCUUUCCAGAGAACUUUGUGCAGUGUACUUAUACACUGUGGAAAUAUCGCAAUUGUUUUCCCAGUUUUCAGGUAUGACUACAGAUAAAUUAUUACAUGGAGUAAAAAGGCAAACUUAAAUAACUUAAAUGAUUGUAACAUGAACGAGAGUGGCUCGAGAAUCUCCUUGGCUUGAAGCAUGUCUUCAUUUCUCUCUAGCGGCGUUACCUUUUAAUCACAGUUAAUUAAACCCGAUCUAGACAAAUUGUCUCUGCGAACUAUGUGUGUUAUUCCCCUAAUAUGCCGCUUGUUGUCACUAGACGAAUUUUAAUAUUUUUAAUUGUGGAGAAAAUUUAUAUGCGGGACCUACUUCGCCAAAUGAGCCACUUUGCGUCAGAAAAUCGGUUCUAUUCGAACGCAUUAAAAGUGUCCACAGCGCGUAAACGCUAUUCAGAUAUCGGCCGCAUUUUUUCUCACUUUCUGCUAUCUUCCCAUCUUGGGCUUCUGCAGGUGCUUCAACCCCAGCACGCCUGCUGUCCGUUCGUUCAUCCACUUGAACCGCUGUUCACCCCGUUAGGCAUCGGUCCGUUGCGAUGCUUAAUUCGACAGCGUCUGACACCUUAAUAAUCUGUUUUUCUUUGUAGACUUCACCUUCAUUCAAGAACUUAGGUGAUGUGUUCCAACCAUGUAAGCAUAACUUUAUAACAAAACUAAUCGGCGAGAUGAAUCUGCAAUCGGUUCUUAACACAGUUUGCUGCUGGUGUGGAUAACGCUUUGACCGGAUCAAGCAGUGUCCGUUUGUGUUCGAAUCACAGCUGACAGAACAUAGAGCUAUUCUACGAAAUACGCACACCGGACACGCGUUUGCGUUUACUUAGAUAUUCAUGCAAAUUUAUUAUAUUUUAGAUACGUCGGUAUUUAGGCUGAAACAUUGAAUUUAGGAAAAACGCACGAAGCAAGAACGACUCAUAAUGGUGUUGUGGUAAAAUCUGAUAGUGAUAAUUGAAAUUGGACAGCUGUGCAAAGUAAAUAUGUUUCUAGAAUAAUUGCAGCGGGAGAUGUGAAGGACUUGAUAAAGGAUACGAGUAUUAUCGCUGAAAUUGAUCCAGUUGGUAAGAUCAUUUGCUCUGAUAGCGCUACCUUCCCGAAUGUUGAGAAGCAUGGGCGCUCUCUUUUUGAUAAGUACCAGCGGAACACAGCUAACUAAGCUGUUGCUACAAGUUCGAUAAUAACUUCACGGGUAGAAAAGUUCGUUCGAAGACGGGGUUUGCGGUGGGUGAGGGCUUUUUUGUCCUAAUAUGAUAAGGCUUAGAACAUUCGCAGCUUUUGUUGAAGAAUUUUUUUCUGUAAAAUGACAUGAUAUAUAGUUGCGUUAUCGAUUCCGCUUCUGUAAGUUUAAAAGAAUUUUUUUUUAAACAUCUUCAGCUGUUACAUCUACGUGUAACCUCCAUUUUGUAACACUUAGAUCCCUAUCUAUAUAGAAUCCCUAAAAAAAGUGAUCUGAAUUAGACCCUUUUCUCGAUCUUUAUGACCGAUUCGUAGGAUCUGGAACCUUGCAAACCUGGGAACCUUUGUAACUGAACAAACUAGUCCGAAGUGUUUAAUAUUUGCGUUUAAUGUCAAGGAGUUUGCUGGAGUCUAUCACUGAUUGGGAUAGAAUAAAGGCAUUAAAACACCAUAACUCAAAGGGCUUUAAGUCAAAAAUGAUACUUUAAAUACGCCUAAUAGACACAACGUAGCUGAUCUCUUCGUCUAUAAAUGAUAUUCUCAAAAAAGCAUACUUAGAAAUAAUCAUGUGCGGAAGACAGACGUUUGAAUAAGCAAUCUAAAUCAACCUUCAUUAGUGUAACCUCUAAAUCCCAACCUCUGUCGACUAGCGACAAAAUACAUGUGACCACUAUUUUUUUUUUAUUAAUUAGGUAUUUGAGAAAUAUUUGACAAUUUUUGAAUAGUUUAAUAAUCCAAACAAGAAAAAAUUAUAAUUAUUGAUAAUAAUGAGAUGGCCUCUUCGAACAUUGACAGGUAUUAUUUUUAAGAAAAGACGUUUUAUCUUACCGAAGCUUUAUAGAAUUGUUACCGGUUCGUUCCGCCAAUAUGAUGCUGUUAAUUUUAUUAAAUAAUUUCUCUUUCUUCUAAGUGGUUGAACCUCUGCGACGAAGAUUUUUUUGCAGUGGCACACAUUCGAGUGAGUUCUGACCCUGUAAACUAUCUGCUUAUUGACUGUACCUAGGCUAACCGUUGCCGUCCAUUGCGGUGAAUGGGCAAAAACUCAGCCAACGAGGUAAUGACAGGACCUGCCGUGUCGUAUUUUGUAUAUUCGAUCAUCUUAUGUUCAUGUUCAAUUCAUUCUAAACAACAAUUAGACGUUUAUCAUGGAUUGCACUAACUAGGAGUGGUAGGAAAUGCGGGUAAUUUGUCGUGGGAGCAGCCAUCAUUACAUUUGGCUAUUCCAACGUACUUUUACUCAAGGCUUGACGUAGUAGUCCUUAACGAUAAUCGUUGUAUACAAAUUUGAUAGAGCACGGUUCAAUUUAGUGAAAACAAUAAUCUUUGAGGAGAAGAUCGUUACGGGCCAGACGAUCGAAUCAUCCGAUCAUAUGUUAGAAUUGGUGUAAAUUAUGAGUCUGCUAUUCAGACAUAAUUUAAGAUUAUGGGUUGAAUAAUAAAUUGACAAAAGUCCUUAUCAAUACCAGACUACCUUUAUUUAUCAUACUGUUUCCCAGCUACUCAACAGGAACGGAAAGCUUCAUUCUCAUCCAAUUUGUCCUUUCUGCAGGCACUUUACUGUCGUAUUCGUUUACUGCACCGAAAAAGAUGUAGAUGAAUAGCCCUCAUCACAAAUGUUUUUUUAUUUGUUAUCUAAGUUUAUUCGCCGUACAAACAGCAAGAAAUACGACUAAAACAGCAGUGAACCCGAACCAAUGAAAAGUAAAGUCUUCGGCGUAUUUCUACCGGCAUUUCGCAUACACAUUAUUUAUUUUUAAAAAAUACCCACGGUGCUAUCGGCUGCUUGUGGAGCCUGACGCUGCCUCUCAGUCUCGAUAACCAGGGGUACGUGUCGAUAGAGAAUUGAGACAUCACCGCCUUUGGUCUGGUGCAGUGUAUUCUAGAGGGCUAUAUUUCUCGUGCGCCCGACACGGUGCAUAAUGAUUAACGGCAAGCGAUGCAAUUGUGCUUUAGUUUUCUAUGGAAUUAUACUGAUUCACCAUGGGCGGCAGCGGCUUCAGCGUCAGGUCAUAUCAUGCCCGCAUACAAAAAGACCACGUUGUAUAACUGCAACAGCUUGCCAGACCCGGAUCAACGUACGGGUCUGUACACCAGCAGUCUCGGUGGCGCGCGUAGUAAAUGUUGUACCAUGCAUCAUUCCGUCACGACAGUGGCAAGAAGAAGCAGUCAGGUGGAGAUGAAAGUGUCAAGCUAAACAGUGGAUAGCCGACAACUAAUAACGAAGCGAAACACGGCCAUCCGUCGACCGCUGCAGCGACUAACCAUUUAGCAUCGUUAAGUCCUGCGAUGAAUAACCCAUAAACCAGGACCAGUGACAA